This 253-nucleotide ribosomal RNA is filed under the name uncultured bacterium. RNAcentral's name for it is "partial 16S ribosomal RNA". It matches the Rfam family "Bacterial small subunit ribosomal RNA", at positions 524 to 776 of the family's 1533-position model. The record is from RNAcentral.
UACAGAGGGUGCGAGCGUUAAUCGGAAUUACUGGGCGUAAAGCGUGCGUAGACGGUAGCGUAAGUCAGAUGUGAAAGCCCCGGGCUCAACCCCGGAACUGCAUCCGAUACUGCCGUGCUAGAGGAUUGGAGAGGUAGCUGGAAUUCUUGGUGUAGCAGUGAAAUGCGUGGAGAUCAAGAGGAACACUCGUGGCGAAAGCGAGCUACUGGACAAUAUCUGACGCUGAGGCUCGAAGGCCAGGGUAGCGAAAGGG